RNAcentral lists this long non-coding RNA (1842 nucleotides) under Manihot esculenta (cassava). RNAcentral describes it as "long non-coding RNA (MESC_LNC006442)". Lineage: Eukaryota; Viridiplantae; Streptophyta; Magnoliopsida; Malpighiales; Euphorbiaceae. The record is from RNAcentral.
UCUACUCAAUUGGAUAUCAUAAUACAUCAUUCAUAAAAACCUUCUGUCACCGACCAUUUGUGACUGACAAUUUACAAGUGUCUGUCAUGCCAAAACCUGACUCACAGUUGUGCACCAGCUAAAACUCAUUAUUUUAAUGCCUAAUAAAUUUCACAUACUAGCCAUGAUAUUAUCAAAUAAUCCCAAGAUUAUACCCUUAAAAUGCCAACUUCAUCUUACUUCCCCUGCUUCAUCUUCCUGCAACAAAAUCUCUCUAUUAUGAUCAGAAGAGACCAUGGCCAUAUCAAAGUGGCUCUGCACUAAAACCAUCAAUAACAUGUUCGUCAAGAUUGUUCAUCCUGGAGGACACAGAGAGCUCCAUGACAAGCCUGUUCUUGCAUCAGGCAUCAUGCGAGAGAACCCAAAAUGCAUCGUUGCAUACCCACAUAUUUUCAAGAAUCCAUGGGCUAUUGUUCAACCAGACACCAUUCUGACACCAGGUCAGAAGUUCUACGUCGUACCCAUGAGCACUGUCCGGAAGCUUCAGAGCCACCGGCUCAAGUCCAGAUCUCCUGUUCCUGACGGCAAUAGCAGUGAGGCUGACAACAAAGAGAAGAAGACUUGUGGGAUUUCUCCGAACAAGAACACAAAGGAUAUAAGGAGGGGAAGUUGCUUGUCUGAUGAUAAAUGCACCAUAUGCAUGUUUAAUGUGUUCAGGAAAAAAUCCAUGAAUGGUGAUGCACCAUUAUCAAACAGUAGCUUCUGGUCAUGCUCAUAUGGGAUCUGGAAGAGGAAGAAGGAUUUGCCAACAGGAUCACCAAACAGACCAUUUAUGCCUUAUGAUCAUUGGCAACCAGCUUUAGAGAGCAUCAGGGAAGAAUAAAGCAAUUACACAAUAUCAAUCUUAUAUCAGGUUGAUUAAUUAUUUACUGUUCAUGAGAUUACUGAAAAUGUGUAAAACCCAAAAGAACAGCUUCAUCAUAGAAAUUUUCUGUUUAUAUAAAUAAAACUUUAUUAUAUAUUAUUUUACAAAACCAAGAACUGUAGCUGAAAAUUGCUAGGAAUCAUGGAAUUGCUGCUAGAAUUAGAAUACUGAGACAUUUAGCUCCAGCCACUAUUUGAUCACCUGUUUAUGAAAUUAAUUUCCUUGAGAAAAUCUAGCUAAUUGCUAAUAUUAUUUAUUAAUUCUGCAAAAUAUUAUAUAUAAGAAUGCUCUUUUAGAAGAAAAUCACUAGCAGCAAAGUUCCUGAUGGAGACAUUAAAAUGGACUGAGAUCACUAAGCCUGCAUAGACAUAAAUGGGAUUGUUUGGAAUAUGUUGAAAAUAUUCAUUUUAAUAAAAUUUAAUAUAUUUAAAAUAAUUAUAAUUAAAAAGUUAAUAAAAAAAUUAUAUUUUUUAAUACAUAUAAAAAAAUUAAAAUAAAUAAAAAUUAUAAAAUAGUGACAAUAAUUUAGAAAUUUAAUAUUAUCAUAUAUAUUGACUAAAAAAUAUUAUCAUACAUUAAAAUUAAACGCUUAAAUUUAUUGUUUAAUAAAUAUUUUUAAAAUAUGGGAAACCUUCUCUUGCUGGCACAAGCAAAUAGGCAUCCGUUAGGUUGGGCAUGCCUUUUCGCCGCUUGUCAUUAUGUCAUGAAAAGUUGGCAUAUGUAAAGGCCAAGUGAAGGCCAAAAUGUUGAAGAUAAGUUCUUAAAAAACUUUUCUCGAACAGGUUAGGUGGGAAAGAAAAAAGAAGAAAAAUGAAAACAUAGAUGGAGAAGAAAUUGAUAUACUCACAAAACCAAUUCCAAACACAUAUCAAUCUCAAAAAUCUUCCUCCUCUAGAUCCCCGCACCACCUCCGAUUCCCAGGUACGGUCGCAAAUCAC